CACGUAUUUAGCCGGUGCUUCUUAGUCAGGUACCGUCAUUUUUCUUCCCUGCUGAUAGGGCUCUACAUACCGAAAUACUUCUUCACCCACGCGGCGUCGCUGCAUCAGGGUUUCCCCCAUUGUGCAAUAUUCCCCACUGCUGCCUCCCGUAGGAGUUUGGGCCGUGUCUCAGUCCCAAUGUGGCCGGUCGCCCUCUCAGGCCGGCUACUGAUCGUCGGUUGGUGGGCUGUUACCCCGCAACUGCCUAAUCAGACGCGGGCCCAUCCCAUACCGCUAAUGCUUUCCAUCCAAGGGCAUGCGCCCCCGCAUGUACAUGCGGUAUUAGCAGCCGUUUCCGGCUCGUUACUCCCCCUGUAGUGGGGCAGGUUACCCACGUCGUUACUCCACCCGUCCGCCACUCAGUCAAAGGCGCUUCCUCCCCGAGGGAUCCGCUCAGUGCUUCGUCGACUGCAUGUGUAGCACG
This 463-nucleotide ribosomal RNA is filed under the name uncultured Lachnospiraceae bacterium. Its description in RNAcentral is "partial 16S ribosomal RNA". The record is from RNAcentral. Lineage: Bacteria; Bacillati; Bacillota; Clostridia; Lachnospirales; Lachnospiraceae.